RNAcentral lists this ribosomal RNA (253 nucleotides) under uncultured bacterium. Its description in RNAcentral is "partial 16S ribosomal RNA". It matches the Rfam family "Bacterial small subunit ribosomal RNA", at positions 524 to 776 of the family's 1533-position model. The record is from RNAcentral.
UACGUAGGGUGCGAGCGUUGUCCGGAAUUAUUGGGCGUAAAGGGCUCGUAGGCGGUUUGUCGCGUCGGGAGUGAAAACCUCGGGCUUAACUCGGGGCUUGCUUUCGAUACGGGCAGACUAGAGGUAUGCAGGGGAGAACGGAAUUCCUGGUGUAACGGUGAAAUGCGCAGAUAUCAGGAGGAACACCGGUGGCGAAGGCGGUUCUCUGGGCAUGAUCUGACGCUGAGGAGCGAAAGUGUGGGGAGCGAACAGG